GCGGCGGCGGAGGCGGCUGUGGCGGCGGUGGCGGCGCGGUCCGGGCUCGGGCCGGGAGUUGCGGGCGGGCGGUGGGAGCGGCGGGGCCGGGCGGGCGCGCUGGAGGCUGCGGGCGGCCGUUCAGCGGGGGGUCGUAUGGAUCAGGGGGGGGCUCAUGGCUGCCGCGGCCGCCAUGUGCUGCUCUCACAGAGCCAUGGCUCGGGGAUCCGGGCUGCUGCCGCUGCGGCUCCGACUGCCGGGGGGAGGGGGAGCGGCACAGCGCAGGAAGCCAACCCGCCGCCGCCGCCGCCUGCAGCAGGGAGAGCGGAACGGGCGGGACUUGGCGGCGGCCGCCGCUGCCACUCACCGCGCGGGGCGCGCGCUCCGGAGCCGGGUGGGAAGGAGGGAGGGGGAGCGCGCCCCCAACGCCGCCGCCCGGUGUCCGCCGCCGCCCUCACGGCCCCGCGCGCUGCCCUGCCCUGCCCUGCGGCCCCGGCGCGGCGCGGCCCGCGCAGCCCGCCCGCCGCGGCUGUUGCAUAACCCAAGCAUGCGCGGGAGCGCGGGGCCGCGGGCGGAAGCGGGUGGCGGGGAAGGGGAGGGGCUGCGCGGGGGCGGAGGAUCGGGGCGGGCGGCGGGAGCCGGUGCGGUGCGGUGCGGUACGGCGCGGCGCGGCGCCCCGGUCCGCUCCGGCUGGCGCCAUCGUGGCCGGCGGACUCCGCGCCUCGGGGCGGAGCGGGCACGGAUCCGGGCGGCCGCUUGCCUCGGGCCGGGCGGGGCAGCGCUGCCGCCGCCACCUGUUGCCCGCGGCUCGGGCUGCCCGCCGUCACGGGGCCAGGCAACCGCCGGGCUCUCUGCCGGCCCCGCUGCUCUGAGCGCCGGAGCCCUGCGCAGCCGCCGCUCCCUCUGGCGGAGCCGCGCGGGCCCUCGUGGCCGCUAUUGGGCAGCGCUAAUUGCGGCCCAUCCUCGCCUCACGCGCAGCCCGGCAGUUACUGCCGCCCGCACGGCCUGCCCGGCCUCGGGGUGUGUGAGUCGAGUGCAGCUGCGUGGAAUCGUUUGCAAAAGGCACAGCGCUGUGCCUCGGCAGUUGCGUGCAUGAAGGAAUAACGCAGUGCCCGAGCAGGCUGUGCUGGGUGUCAGGAACACAUGGAGCUGUGUGUGUGUGUUGUUCCUUCACACCAAUAGUUUAUCAGUCAAAAAAAAACCCACAACAAAACGUUAUGAGACUUCAUUCAGGCUGGAUUGGCACCUAAAGUGAAUGCCCCCACCUGAGAGCAGCUAUACUGACAGGGCUGCAGAAGCAGUCAAUGAGAAAUACAUGUCUUCCUAGAAAUCCGUUUUUGUAAUGCUCUGACUGUGGUUCCCUAAGCAAAUAAUCACAUGGACUCGUUUUCCAUAGCAGUCAUCACAUUUACAAUAGCGUCUAAAGAAUAAAGCACAGAGCAUUCUAAAAAGCAUACAAAAUAUGGCAGCACUGCUAAUGUGAGGACGGAAGAUGUAGAAGAAAGGACUUAACCAUUCUAACUACCUCCAGAUUGCCCAAAACUUGGUCAAAAGAGCAAGUGCCGCCAUGCAGGAGGUGCGCAGACAGCAGCUGCUCAGACAUGCCUGCACAUAACCAGGUGUGAAGUGCAAGGUGUGAUCACAGGCAGCCCAAGGACAGCGAUGUACUCCUUCAAUACACUAUUCAGGAUCAAAUCUUUAACCAUAUCCCACUCUUUAAAACAGGCAUUCAAGAGACGCUUUUUUCCAUCUUCUGGCCAUACAGAGGAUAGCCCAUCGUCAGAUGAUUCUUAAGAAACGAGCGGUUGCUGAUUGAAGGACAAAUCGACAUCUGAGUACUUAUUUCACAGGAUGUUUAGGUUUGGUACUCUUAGGAAUAAGUCACAUAGAAAUAAAACAUUUCUUCAGUUUACUUUGGUGUUUAUUUUUUGUUUGUUCUGUAAAAAGGAAAACUCUUGUUCUGUAAAAAGGAAAACUAAUCCAAAGCACCUGAACUGUUAGCUUUGUGAUGCUUCCCAUGGAGAUAGGAGGGCACAGCGUUACUGAGUGCUGCAGGCUCACUGUGUGCAACUGGAUGCAACCCUCCCUCCUUGGGACAAAAGAGAAGAGAGGGGUAAAGCAGGAGGGGAACACAGUGCUUGAAGAAGUCGUUUGACACAAAUAGCUGUUUUUUUUUUUGGUAAGUAUUUGGCUGGACAAGAAGGCAAUGAAAAAGCAGUAUAAUUUAUGGAGAGCAAAAUUACGGCAGGAAAGCAGGUAGAAUAAGAUUUAAAAAGCAAUUAACUGAAGGCAUGAAGACAAACAAGGCAUUUUUUUCAACAACCAGCAGCAGAAUGCCUGCAGGAAUCAGUUAGAAAAUGGGGUAACGGAGGAAAAGGCACCGAGGAGCUUUUUUCUCAGCACAACACAUUGCGGUCUGCGAGUCGUGUAAGGGAAGGGUUAAUAAGAAUUAUUAUUAAAGUCAGUGACUCAUUAAACAACCUGAAUAGAAGAGAAUUAGGAGUGGCUCCCUAGAAGGAAGGAACUGAACAAUUAUUAGGAAGAGCUCCUAAUGAAUAACCAUGUCAGGGCAAGAACAUAGAGAUGAAUGUUAUCAUUUCAGUCUUUGUUUGUCUGCUAACGAAGUCGGGUCCCACCGUGAGAUGAAUGUGGAUGUAGGCAGCGGAAUGGGCUAUCCAGGGUACCCUUGGUGGGUACGUGUGCCUGGAGAUAACUGAUACCUGUAUUAUUAUCUGUGAGAAAUACUGGUUUUAUCUGAUUUCCCUUACUAUUUCUCCUCCUCUCUCACCCUGCUGCACGUCAUCAAGUUGCUGCUGCCCCAGAACUUCACAGUCCUCGCUGCUGCUGCAGGAGCAAAGCUCCUGUCCUGUCUGCUUACUGCUGGGAUGGGGAGCGGGCCACAGCUUGUCCUGCUGCAGGGCACUCGCAUGCAUUGCCACUGAAGUGCACGAGUGGACACGUGUCUUUUCUAUCAGUAUCUCUGUAUGCAAAUGCAGACAUUUGGAAGUAAGCAUCCAGGAAGUGCUGAGAUUCCUGUGUUGGCUGAGAUGUUAGCUGCCCUAUUUCCCUUUCCUGUAAUCUGACUGUAGUAGGGGUAGAUUGUAUGCAGUGAUAAAACGGGCCCUAUCUUCUCUCGCGGUAAAUUUCUUGCAUAUGUGCUUAGUCAAAUUUUUGCUUACAGAAGCUUGCAGAAUCUUCAUGUGCCUUAUGUAAAAACAACAACACUUCUGCUGGGACACUUGUGCAGGUUGACUCACCUCCAUCCCUAGGAUGUAAGUUUACUAAGAAGUGCUCACAGAGCUGCCAGGGUGCUCCUACAGACCCCACAGCCUGUACAGAACAGCAGAGCUGAGCAGGUGCCAGUGUUGUGAACAAGCACCAGAGCUGAACAAGGAGCUGAAACCUGGCACCAGUGUGAUGUGACACGUCUACCACGAUUUCCUCCUUGGUUGAAGUGCUUCAUCGUACCUCUGCUGCACCAGUAAGAGCUGUGUGCUCCAACUGCUGGCCUCCAGCUGAGAGCGCCGUGCUUCCCUUCCCAAUGGAAAAGCAACAGAAGUGGCCAUUAAUAGUACGAAUUUAUAGCUUAAGAGGUUUGCAAGUAUCUAAGUGCUGCAUGUGCUAUGAUAAUUUAUCUUUGAACUUGUUAGUAACAAUGCAUAAUUAACAAGUAAGCUGUAGGAACAUGCAAUUGCUAUGUAUUUACAUGGUAUGUGCCAGGCAUUGUGGUGUAAUUACAGAGCUGAUACCUGCUCUGUAGAAUGAGGCGCACAGUGUGCUCUAUUUCAUAUUAUUUCCCACAGCCGCCCAGUGAAGCAGAGCACAGCAUAGCAGGGUUUAAUGACACGCUUUGCUCCAGCGGAGGCAAUCCAUGAGGACAGAGCUACACAGACCUGUGCCCAGCACUGGCAUUUUGGCAUCACCGUAUGUCCUGCUCGCUUGAGUGGCAAUGCACAUGGAGCUCAAGUUACUUAUGCUUUGGAUUGCUGCCCUUUCGGUGAUAUAAAUGGAGUUGACUAUGCAGUACGGCAAUUUUUUCCUCUCAUAUAUAAUAUGACGCAUCUUUGCAAUAAUUACAGGUAAAACAGUGCACAAAAAUAAACUAUUUUCUAUGAAGUUUAAAAUAAAAACAAACAGAUGCCAGCUUGGAACAACUUAUUUACCCUAAAAUUCAUUAGGAUCAGAAUACCAAAUGUGAAGUAGCAUAACACAGGCACCAGGGGAAAAAAAACAGCUAGUGGUGAAAAGUGCAAAGAAAUCUGAUGCAUCUCCAAGCUAGUCAUCUUUUACUUGAUUCAGCAUAAACUGCAUGUAAAAAUAAAUUAAAAUAUUAUAUUUGAGAUUCACUUUUGGCAGGAAAAGGAAUGCUGUGCUUGUCAAAGUGACACAAGAAUUUCUGUGCCCAGUUUCUAAAAUGGUGUCAUCAGAACACAGAUAUGAAGUAUUACCCAUUCUGAGCAGAAAAUACAGACCGUGGUGGGCAGUAGACACAACACUACUCCGGGUAUAGAACUGACUUGAUAGAAACAUUGAUGUACCUGUUGAUGCUUAGGAAAUAAAAUUCAACCUCAGCAUACAGGGAAGCAACCUGAGAGUGGCCUAGUGGAACAAAAAGCUUCUUCCUGCAGCAGACUGAAUGGUCCAGAAUAAGUGAAGCCCAAGUCACUUAUCAGCAACAAGAGUUAACAUUUCAGUCCAUCUCAGAAGAUAUAGCUCAGGAACAUUCAUAAGGUGCACCAAGUCCUUCCUAUACUGAUGAAUUGAAGGUAAUUUCAGAAGAAGCUGAUUUGGAAGGAAAACAAUCUCCUUUUGGAAAAAUUCAUAUCUGGAAAACAUGUUAAUUGCUUUAUGACUUGCAUUCCUCAGUAUCUCUAUACAGAUUUUUUUUUAAUAAUUAUUUUUCAAGAUUUUCAUAAAGUGUACCUUUGGCAAAGGAACUGGGAAGAGAUGCCCACACAUAUCCUAGGUACAAAUGCAGGCACCAUCAAGAUUUCACGACUUGUUAAUUUCUACUUCUUCUAUGUAAAAUCAUGAAGUGCCUGGGUGACAGCUGCAGCAACUGUUUACAUUAUCUGAAAUACCAGCACAGUGUUCUCGCUGCAUACCAACAAGAACCGAGGCCCAUAUUCUACAAACGUUUUCAAAGGAAAUAUUUGAGGCAAGCUGCCAGCCUUGGGUUUGAAAUUCUCACUGCGGUUAAUGGUGGCACGCAGGGUUGGGGUUGACUUUUACCUACUUUUCAAUAUUGCAUAUGCAUUCCAGUACUUUCUUUGUAAGAGGACACAUGGUAAAUAUUCAAAUCCCUCCAAACAGUGAAUUCUUUUAAACUUUUAUCUGAAAAAGAUGCUAUUUUUCAAGCUGAGAAGGGCAGUUUCCUCCAUCUGUUCAGUGGCAGAUAAGUUCAAAACGAAGACUUUCCACCGGCUUCAGUAGGGUCUGAAUCAGACACCUCUGCCAGUGCUUUGAUAGAGUUAUUUUUCAUAAAGAUGCAACAUCAACCGGAAGAAUCCUGUAAUUAUUUCUGGGGAAUUAAUAAAUACUUCUUCAGUGGUGAAACACUGCAUACUUUCAGUCCUUAUUUGGAGCCCAACCACUCUAUAUGUCAUUGAAGGCCUUGUCUCGCACAGACAAUUAGUGAGACAAACUGGAAUGAUGUCUUCCAAAAGCUCUGGCUAGGAGCAGCUCCCAGUUGUGAAGCGUGCAGAUGAUGUUCUCUUUAGGGCUGGAAAAGCUAUCUGCUAGCUGAUGGGAAAAUUACAGGUGCUGAUGAAGUGUGAGCCUCUCAGUGAACAUGUCUGCCUAAGACUGAAAUGAUUUUCUGUAAUUCCUGCUUUCUGCACAAGUUUUCUGGGGAGGGGCUUCAAAAGUGAGAAUUUCCCCAAGGAAAAGGAAAUGUGUCUCUUUGAUAUGGCCAUGGAGCUGAGGAGCAGACACCGUGAGUUACAAGUUCAUGGAGGGUGAUGACAAAUGUUUGAACACUCCUUAGCAAAUCACUCACACAUGAUUUAUGGAGCGAAUUACUUGCAGAAGGAUUACAGCACAUGUUUUCCAAAAACAUAAAUUUGGGAAAAAUCAAUCUGCUCACAGACAAAUAACGAAAAGAGGAAGAGGAAAAUAUUCUCAAACAAAUCUGAAUCUGGAAAUCAUUCACUCAGCUCAGUUUACAGUGACCAAUUUUUAUGGUAGUAGGAGCUUGUGGAGUAGGAGGUAACUGUAAGAAGAAUGAUUGAUUCAGUGUCUUAUAUUGCAAUUCUGGAAGAGGUUCAACAUCUAAUUUAAAAGCCAUUUUCUUGCUCUUACCCAGUAAAGAAAUCAAAAUGAUAGUCAAUGACUGUGAGUUUUGGGCAGAUAGCAUCUAUUUUGUGUCCCUAAAGUCCUGUGGUCACUGACACAGGCUGGUUCAUAACAAAGAGCAGUUACUUAUUAUGAAAGGCCUCUCUUGCCUGAAAAGAAACCUGCCAGAGGAAGGAUAUUGCUGUUAUAAUCCUCUUUGCAUCUUCCCAUUAGAGGGGAAAAUAUUUGCUCUUCCAGAAGGCUCAAAAUUAGUUAUAAACUUGGUGCUUUCCUUCAGCCUGUGAGUUGGGGAGACCUGAGUAAACUGCAUCUUCUCCAGCCCAUCUUCAUUUCUUGACAGUAAUUAAGAGAGCAGUGAUUUACUUCACCCUAGGAAGGAGACAAAGCACACUUUGGGCAUCUCUCUCCCAAGGCCUAGCCACACACCUGGCACAGGUGCUUCCUGCUCCAGACAGAGGUGGCUCUGAGUGUUCUGCUUAUGCCACUGGCACGGUGGGUGUGCAGCCAACAGCAGAUCUCCUUAAGUCCUUACGCUUUCUUCCUGAUUCCAUAUUUAACUCCUAAUUUCAUUCCUGAGCAGUCAAUGCUGUCUUUCACAGAGACAGCAGAUAGGAAGUAGUCCACUUGAGCCCUACAAGCUCAAUACUGCUAAUAUGUCAACUUCAACAAUUUAUCCAUACAAGAGCUUUAACUCCAACAACAAUCUGAAUGCAGACAGAUCUCAGCCUGCCUCUGUAGAACGCUUGAUCCAGGUCAAAACCUACCACUAACCUUUGCCUUUAUCCUGCCCAGAAUCCCCCAGACCACAUGCAUUUGGGAAGCUGGGCUAGAGAGGGUAAGAAAGAUAUCCUGCUAGCUUUUUUGGCUAUUGUUUAAUUUGUUACACAUGAUUAACUCCUCUAUGUUGCUGCCUGGCAGAAUCCGUGACUAAAAAUAUCCUGUGAGUAUACGGUGCGUGCUGCAACACUGGCAGAAAGUAAAUAAGACCAUAGUCCUCAUAAUCACUGUUUUUGCUAAGAACUACUGCUCCCAGCAGACUGGCUAUUUUAGGCUGUAAACGGAAAGCUGAAAAUGAGGUUUUCUUUCCCUGCCAGUUCUUCUCCUGGGAAUUCUAUUGCUUUCUGCUCUGCCCCUACUCCAGGUGUUGAUGGCAGCACGCUGCUAACACUGGUCUCACAGGGAAUGGAUCACCAGAGCUGGUUCUGAGGUAUACCAGUGAACAUAGGAAAUAAUUUCCACUAGUAUUGUCAUAUCAUUUGAAUGGAGCACUUGAUCAAAAGUGGAUGGGGAUAGUUUGAUUUACUUCUUGAGUCAGGUGAUAGUUCACUCAGAUUCAGCUUUACGAAGUCAGAAGGGUAUCUUUAGCUGCCUGCACUUCCUGUUCUAAUACUGGUAAAUGUAUUUGCCUCUCUCUUAAUUUUGCAGAACACCUUUUAACCUCUUAUUUGAUGAUCUAAACACAAACACUCUUGAUUUGUAGUCCCAUUGAUACCAGCGAUGCCUGGCCUUGUCUCCAUGAUAUAGCACCUAGAUCACACAUAUCAUAUAGAUCUAAUGAAAGAACUUUGCACGGUGUGCAAGUCUGAGAAGUGCUAAUUAUUAUUCUUAGACUCCAUGCAUUAUGUAUUUUCUGCUGGAAAAAGCUUUGCGUUUUUAGGAAUUCAAAAGAUUAGGCUUUGCUACAGCAACAUGCAAGUCUAAGAACUUGAGAACAAGUCAUAAUCUUUAGCAUUAGCUGUACCUUUCUGAUGGCUCAAAUGUUGUUUAGAAGGAUUUUCUAGGAAGGAUUUUCCAGGAAACACCCUAGCUAUUUCAUACUGUAUGGCAAACAGGUAUACAGAUUGUAAGGUAUACAGGUAUAGGACCAGAGAGAUUACCGUGUUUACAAAAGAGUAAUGAAAUAAAGAGCUUACCCAUAUCCUGGGCUCGCAGAAGGGUUCCAAAAGGGAUGAUCUCCAGAUAGAGAUCCUUCCUCCUUGGGAGACAGCCCUUAAAUGGGGUCUAGGAGGUCACUAAGGUGAAAUUGCGUUCACCUGUGCCCCUGCAGCUGACUCUGCUCACCUCAGGUGGUCAAUCAGAGGUUCAGGCCGUGAUUCAACAGUUCCCGUACACAUGGCAUGAACACUGCUGUCGUAUCAGGCCUGUAUAGCCUUAUUUGUGGAAUGCCACUCAAGAGCAUCCUUUGAGUUGCUGAGUAUCUGCUGAGUUCUUUUAAUCAGUUGUACUACUGUGAAGUGGUCUGUGUAUAUAAAAAAAAAAAAAACUUUUAACUUCCCACACAAAUAUCAGCCAGCAGCAUUCUGACAUUCAAUAAAGUCUGCAGUUCUAAUAGUUACUGAAACUUUUCAAAGUUAUGCCUAAAUGGAGGCAAUUAUAUAUCCAUACCUGUAUUUGCAGCGUUCUUAUGGUGUCUUAUUUCUUUCAAGAUCCUAUUGACUUUUCAGUUCAUGUGGUAUGAUACAGCAAGAGAUCACUGAGCACAGGGCUGGCCCACCAGCAGGCAUUCUGCUCUGCCUGCUGCACUUAUGUGGCAUGA
Molecule: long non-coding RNA, 8809 nt
Filed under: Gallus gallus (chicken)
Lineage: Eukaryota; Metazoa; Chordata; Aves; Galliformes; Phasianidae
Source: RNAcentral